RNAcentral lists this ribosomal RNA (497 nucleotides) under uncultured bacterium. RNAcentral's name for it is "partial 16S ribosomal RNA". It matches the Rfam family "Bacterial small subunit ribosomal RNA", at positions 28 to 507 of the family's 1533-position model. The record is from RNAcentral.
GAUGAACGCUGGCGGCGUGCCUAAUACAUGCAAGUCGAGCGAACAGAUAAGGAGCUUGCUCCUUUGACGUUAGCGGCGGACGGGUGAGUAACACGUGGGUAACCUACCUAUAAGACUGGGAUAACUUCGGGAAACCGGAGCUAAUACCGGAUAACAUUUAGAACCGCAUGGUUCUAAAGUGAAAGAUGGUUUUGCUAUCACUUAUAGAUGGACCCGCGCCGUAUUAGCUAGUUGGUAAGGUAACGGCUUACCAAGGCGACGAUACGUAGCCGACCUGGGAGGGUGAUCUGCCACACUGGAACUGAGACACGGUCCAGACUCCUACGGGAGGCAGCAGUAGGGAAUCUUCCGCAAUGGGCGAAAGCCUGACGGAGCAACGCCGCGUGAGUGAUGAAGGGGUUCGGCUCGUAAAACUCUGUUAUUAGGGAAGAACAAAUGUGUAAGUAACUGUGCACAUCUUGACGGUACCUAAUCAGAAAGCCACGGCUAACUACGUG